ACGGCUACAUCAUGUUCAAACACCAGUUCCCGUACAAUCUCGGAAGUUAAGCAACGUCGAUCUUGGUCAGUAGUUAGGUAGGUCGUUGCUUGGGAAUAUCAGGUAAUGUA
Molecule: non-coding RNA, 110 nt
Organism: Acanthosepion pharaonis
Lineage: Eukaryota; Metazoa; Mollusca; Cephalopoda; Sepiida; Sepiidae
Source: the annotation of a GenBank genome assembly